Molecule: ribosomal RNA, 492 nt
Filed under: uncultured bacterium
Lineage: Bacteria
Description: partial 16S ribosomal RNA
Rfam family: Bacterial small subunit ribosomal RNA
Source: RNAcentral
AGUGAACGCUGGCGGUAGGCCUAACACAUGCAAGUCGAACGGCCGCACAGUAAGAGCUUGCUCUUACGGGUGGCGAGUGGCGGACGGGUGAGGAAUACAUCGGCAUCUACUUUUUCGUGGGGGAUAACGUAGGGAAACUUACGCUAAUACCGCAUACGACCUACGGGUUAAAUCAGUGGAUCUUCGGACCUUGCGCGAUUGAAUUAGCCGAUGUCGGAUUAGCUAGUUGGCGGGGUAAAGGCCCACCAAGGCAACGAUCCGUAGCUGGUCUGAGAGGAUGAUCAGCCACACUGGAACUGAGACACGGUCCAGACUCCUACGGGAGGCAGCAGUGGGGAAUAUUCGACAGUGGGCGCAAGCCUGAUCCAGCCAUACCGCGUGGGUGAAGAAGGCCUUCGGGUUGUAAAGCCCUUUUGUUGGGAAAGAAAAGCAGCAGGUUAAUACCCCGCUGUUCUGACGGUACCCAAAGAAUAAGCACCGGCUAACUUCGUG